UGGGGAAUUUUGGUCAAUGGGGGAAACCCUGAUCAAGCCAUCCCGCGUGUGCGAUGAAGGCCUUCGGGUUGUAAAGCACUUUUGGCAGGAAAGAAACGUCAUGGGUUAAUACCCCGUGAAACUGACGGUACCUGCAGAAUAAGCACCGGCUAACUACGUGCCAGCAGCCGCGGUAAUACGUAGGGUGCAAGCGUUAAUCGGAAUUACUGGUCGUAAAGCGUGCGCAGGCGGUUCGGAAAGAAAGAUGUGAAAUCCGAGAGCUCAACUGUGGAACUGCAUUUUUAACAACCGGACUAGAGUGUGUCAGAGGGAGGUGGAAUUCCGCGUGUAGCAGUGAAAGGCGUAGAUAUGCGGAGGAACACCGAUGGCGAAGGCAGCCUCCUGGGAUAACACUGACGCUCAUGCACGAAAGCGUGGGGAGCAAACAGG
This 429-nucleotide ribosomal RNA is filed under the name Acidobacteriota bacterium. Its description in RNAcentral is "Acidobacteria bacterium partial 16S ribosomal RNA". It matches the Rfam family "Bacterial small subunit ribosomal RNA", at positions 355 to 776 of the family's 1533-position model. The record is from RNAcentral. Lineage: Bacteria; Pseudomonadati; Acidobacteriota.